This 253-nucleotide ribosomal RNA is filed under the name uncultured prokaryote. RNAcentral's name for it is "partial 16S ribosomal RNA". It matches the Rfam family "Archaeal small subunit ribosomal RNA", at positions 474 to 727 of the family's 1478-position model. The record is from RNAcentral.
UACCAGCUCCUCGAGUGGUCGGGGCGAUUAUUGGGCCUAAAGCAUCCGUAGCCGGUUCCGUAGGUCCUCUGUUAAAUCCAACCGUUUAACGGUUGACCUGCAGAGGAUACCGCGGGACUAGGAGGCGGGAGAGGCGGACGGUACUCCGCGUGUAGGGGUAAAAUCCUUUGAUCCGCGGAAGACCACCAGUGGCGAAGGCGGUCCGCCAGAACGCGCUCGACGGUGAGGGAUGAAAGCUGGGGGAGCGAACCGG